CACUAAGAAGCUAAAUUAGGAAACAGCGUUAGCCUUUUAAGCUAAAGACUGGUGGCUACCGACCACCCUAAGUGA
RNAcentral lists this transfer RNA (75 nucleotides) under Simenchelys sp. YL-2021. RNAcentral describes it as "tRNA-Lys". It matches the Rfam family "tRNA". From Rfam's summary of the family: Transfer RNA (tRNA) molecules are approximately 80 nucleotides in length. Their secondary structure includes four short double-helical elements and three loops (D, anti-codon, and T loops). Lineage: Eukaryota; Metazoa; Chordata; Actinopteri; Anguilliformes; Synaphobranchidae. The record is from RNAcentral.